CACCCGUGAUGAUUCGCCAUGCUAAUACCGAGGCGCCGAACAGAGCCGUUGGCUCUGAACCUCGGGUGUCAGUGAGUUAAGCUCACUUCUCGCGGGAAGGCCUGAGGUGC
Molecule: small nucleolar RNA, 110 nt
Organism: Elgaria multicarinata webbii
Lineage: Eukaryota; Metazoa; Chordata; Lepidosauria; Squamata; Anguidae
Source: RefSeq, a predicted model, not a curated record